This 510-nucleotide long non-coding RNA is filed under the name Cricetulus griseus (Chinese hamster). RNAcentral's name for it is "lncRNA (ENSCGRG00015035238.1)". The record is from RNAcentral. Lineage: Eukaryota; Metazoa; Chordata; Mammalia; Rodentia; Cricetidae.
CUGAUGAAUAACAACUGAUUUUACCCUCUGGCAACCAUCCACACAAGGGCACCUGCACUACACACAGACCUGCUUGGACACAUACACUGGUGCACACACAAACAAGAGCCACUUACUGUCAUGCAAGAUCAGGAGACUAGAAGCCAGCUGUUGGUCAUUGACUAUUCUCAAUCCCCAAAGGCUUCCCACAGUUCCUAGUCCUGGACUCCAGUGGAAGUUCCCACAGGUGUGUUCGUUUCUCCCGGACAGCUGGAUUGUGUUCUGACACCUUCUGCAACCAGCUGGAAAACAUUCUUUCAAAGGAUUCUCAAAGUUAAGUCAGACCCAUCAGGAUAGCCUCCUGUCUUAAGACCAACUGAGCCAAACCUUGUGUGAACUCUCAGCUUCCUACUCCUGCAGCCAUGACUCUUAUGCUGGAACUUAACCAAACUUGACAGAAAACUAAUAUACUCCUCAGUUCAAACCGACCACAUGGUGGAGUAUAAAUAAACUGGGAUGAGCCAACUGAAC